RNAcentral lists this ribosomal RNA (452 nucleotides) under Clostridioides difficile. Its description in RNAcentral is "bacterial LSU rRNA". It matches the Rfam family "Bacterial large subunit ribosomal RNA", at positions 1215 to 1665 of the family's 2925-position model. Lineage: Bacteria; Bacillati; Bacillota; Clostridia; Peptostreptococcales; Peptostreptococcaceae. The record is from RNAcentral.
UCAGUAAUGAUGGGUAGGGGAGCUUCCCAUACGGGUUGAAGCAUGACCGUAAGGACAUGUGGACAGUAUGGGAGUGAGAAUGUUGGCAUGAGUAGCGAGAUGUGGGUGAGAAUCCCACAGGCCGUAAACCCAAGGUUUCUAGGGGAGGGUUCGUCCGCCCAGGCUUAGUCGGGAACUAAGCUGAGGCCGAAAGGCGUAGGGGAUGGACAACAGGUUGAUAUUCUUGUACUAACGAUAAACGUUUGAGAGAUGGGAUGACAGAGUAGGAUAAACUAAGCACACAGUUGGUUAUGUGUGCGCAAGCAUUGAGGCAGGCAAAGGAGGCAAAUACGCUGUGAUACUGCUGGGAUGUGAUGGGGAGCGAGAUUUAGUAGCGAAGUAGCUGAUUUCACACUGUCAAGAAAAGUCUCUAUCGAGGUUAAAGGUACCCGUACCGCAAACCGACACAGGUG